GAUGAACGCUGGCGGCGUGCCUAAUACAUGCAAGUCGAGCGAAUGGAUUGAGAGCUUGCUCUUAUGAAGUUAGCGGCGGACGGGUGAGUAACACGUGGGUAACCUGCCCAUAAGACUGGGAUAACUCCGGGAAACCGGGGCUAAUACCGGAUAACAUUUUGAACCGCAUGGUUCGAAAUUGAAAGGCGGCUUCGGCUGUCACUUAUGGAUGGACCCGCGUCGCAUUAGCUAGUUGGUGAGGUAACGGCUCACCAAGGCAACGAUGCGUAGCCGAGCUGAGAGGGUGAUCGGCCACUCUUGGACUGAGACACGGCCCAGACUCCUACGGGAGGCAGCAGUAGGGAAUCUUCCGCAAUGGACGAAAGUCUGACGGAGCAACGCCGCGUGAGUGAGGAAGGCUUUCGGGUCGUAAAACUCUGUUGUUAGGGAAGAACAAGUGCUAGUUGAAUAAGCUGGCACCUUGACGGUACCUAACCAGAAAGCCACGGCUAACUACGUGCCAGCCGCCGCCGUAA
This 515-nucleotide ribosomal RNA is filed under the name uncultured bacterium. Its description in RNAcentral is "partial 16S ribosomal RNA". It matches the Rfam family "Bacterial small subunit ribosomal RNA", at positions 28 to 523 of the family's 1533-position model. The record is from RNAcentral.